GACGAACGCUGGCGGCGUGCUUAACACAUGCAAGUCGAACGGAAAGGACCGGCUUUUGUGGGGUGCUCGAGUGGCGAACGGGUGAGGAACACGAGAGUAACCUGCCCCUGACUUUGGGAUAACUUCAGGAAACUGGGGCUAAUACCAGAUAGGAGCUCCUGCUGCAUGGUGGGGGUUGGAAAGUUUCGGCGGUUGGUGAUGGACUCGCGGCUUAUCAGUUUGUUGGUGGGGUAGUGGCUUACCAAGGCUUUGACGGGUAGCCGGCCGGAGAGGGUGGCCGGCCACAUUGGGACUGAGAUACGGCCCAGACUCCUACGGGAGGCAGCAGUGGGGAAUAUUGCACAAUGGGCGGAAGCAUGAUGCAGCAACGCCGCGUGCGGGAUGACGGCCUUCGGGUUGUAAACCGCUUUCGCCUGUGACGAAGCGUGAGUGACGGUAAUGGGUAAAGAAGCACCGGCUAACUACGUG
This 468-nucleotide ribosomal RNA is filed under the name uncultured bacterium. Its description in RNAcentral is "partial 16S ribosomal RNA". It matches the Rfam family "Bacterial small subunit ribosomal RNA", at positions 28 to 507 of the family's 1533-position model. The record is from RNAcentral.